RNAcentral lists this long non-coding RNA (2145 nucleotides) under Homo sapiens (human). Its description in RNAcentral is "non-protein coding lnc-PBX1-6:1". The record is from RNAcentral. Lineage: Eukaryota; Metazoa; Chordata; Mammalia; Primates; Hominidae.
CUUGCCCUUCUCUGACUGUUCCUUAAUGGGUGCACACCAUGCUCUAAUUGUUUCUAGUAUUUGUGCACAUCCUUCCUGACCCCCAGGGUUUACUGUGAUCCCAGGAGGCCACUUUGUGGCUGUCUCUUUUUCAGGUAGUCGCUAGUUAACUUUUGAUUGCUCUGAUGUUUUUAUUGUUGCUACCUUUAUUAUAGAGCUAUAAGCCCCUCCAUUGUUUUCAGUAAUACCUUUGACAUGGAAUUCUCUAGGAUUUGCUCCAGAUAAAAUCUGUUCCCUCAGGCAGAGCUGUGGAGCUCUUCAUCAUUAAGGCCUUCUUUGCAGCCUGCCUCUCAGCCUGGGCAGAAUCUCUGUGCCACCGCACAAGAGCUAGGGGCAGGGACAAUAUCCCACUUUUUCUGGAUUGGCACCCCUGUUCUAUAAGCAGGUACUGGGGGUGUGGUGGCACUUUCCUUCAUUUUCCAAGAACAAUUGACUCUGCCUGCCUGGCCUGAGGAAGGCUCCUGGGCAUCAUUGCUCUGGCAGGUGGUUUUCAUUUGCUGUCUAGAGAUGCUGGCACUCCUGCAAAUUCAGUUCCCAUCUCACUCCCAGCCAGGUCCCCAACACUGCCUGCAUCUGAUACAAUGGCUUGUUACCGCCUGGAAUAUGUAGUUCUAACAGUAACACAGCCCUCUUUUUCUUCAGCAACCAUCAGAAAAAAGGAUUUCUUGGACCAUUACAUUUCAAAAUAUAUUUUUACAUUUCAAAUAAAUAUACUACCUUAAAAAUAUUUCUUCUGAAAUAAAAUAUAUUGUCCAUUUAACCUCUGACAAAGAAGCUGAAUUGGAGUGGGACUUCAUUGUAAAGCCCUGGCAGCUGCUGCCUAGGUUCAGUUUCCUAAGCAACCUGGAAACUUAAUUAGACCCAAACAACAAGGAUGAGUAUUUAGAGAAAUAAGAUUUAGUGGAAUCACUAUCAUCAAGGAUCUAAGAACCGAGAUUAUUGAGGGAAAGAAAUGUAAAAAUGAGGUAAAGCAAUCUGAUGAUUAGAGAAAUUAGCUACAGAGCUUUUAAAAUAAUAUUUUUAAAGAACUUUAAUAUUUUAAAUCAUUAGCCUUCAGGUUUUCAGUGGCAGAUGAGAUUACAAGUAUUUAAACAAUCAGCUUGAAUUGCAUUGCUUGAGACAAUGUUUGCACCAAUUAGCUCCUGAAAGUUAAAGAGAUAUUCCUUUAAGGAAUGAUCCUUGAAUUAGACCUUGGAAAAUGGGUAGAAUUUGAAUAUGCAGGUUUAUGUAUAUUUAUGAUCACAGUUAGUCUGUUUAUUCAAUUCAAAUUCCACAUGUAUUGUCAUCACUGUUUGCUGUUAUAACUUCUUAUGUCUCCUCCUGCACCAUUCCAUUUCCCCACAACCCUUGUAAACACUGGUUCCAGGCUCGUAAUAUGAAACCAAAGUUUGCCUCCCUGUGUAUUCUUUUUCGUCCCAGUUAUACCCUUGAGUCAAAACGAACCCAUUUCUCUUUUACUGAGCUUUUAAUAUUUGAAGUCGAUGAUGUUUCUUAUUUUUGUUCUCUUCCCAGACUAAUUACAGGAUCUCCACUUCUUCCAAUCAAUCUUAAAGUCUAAAAAAUAAAAGAUUUGGAAAUCAGAGGUGCAUUUCCUUCAUCAUCAGGUAUAAGUAUUUUCCUAUCAUAAUUGUUUAUUCUUCUCUCAAUUUGCUUCCUAAUAUUGAUUAAAACUGCUUACUAUUUUUUAUUUGACAUAAUCUUAAGGUGAAAAACUCCACACUCUUGAUGGCCAUUUUAAUCAAUUCACUUCACUGCUCUGAAAAAAAAAUCCAGUAGAUGACUUUUUAGGCUUAACCAACCUGGAGAGCACCCAAGCACUUUCCAUUGGUGUGGCACAAACUGCACUGAUGCACACUUUACUGAACAGAUUCGAGUCUCUGGAAUAGCAGAUAUGUACUAUCCACAUAUAAUUUGCUUACUGUAGAGAAUAGAAGAGAAUGAUUGUUCAGUAAAAUGUUUGCUUAUAUAAUCUGUGUGACCAAAAUAAUUUGCUGUUGGUCCCCAUGUAUAUCUUGCCAAUUACCACAUCGUAUAUUUUCCAUUUCCCAGUUUUCAUUUCUGGAAUUUAUUUCCUAUUUUAUUGUGUGGCAAAUUAUCUUUAGUUUC